Molecule: small nuclear RNA, 104 nt
Filed under: Myotis davidii
Lineage: Eukaryota; Metazoa; Chordata; Mammalia; Chiroptera; Vespertilionidae
Source: RNAcentral
GUGCUCACCUCGACAGCACAUACACUAAAAUUGGAACGAUACAGAGAUUAGCAUGGCCCCUGCGCAAGGAUGACACGCAAAUUCGUGAAGCGGGCCAUAUUUUU